Molecule: ribosomal RNA, 592 nt
Filed under: Pantoea anthophila
Lineage: Bacteria; Pseudomonadati; Pseudomonadota; Gammaproteobacteria; Enterobacterales; Erwiniaceae
Description: bacterial SSU rRNA
Rfam family: Bacterial small subunit ribosomal RNA
Source: RNAcentral
GUAGUCACGCCGUAAACGAUGUCGACUUGGAGGUUGUUCCCUGAGGAGUGGCUUCCGGAGCUAACGCGUUAAGUCGACCGCCUGGGGAGUACGGCCGCAAGGUUAAAACUCAAAUGAAUUGACGGGGGCCCGCACAAGCGGUGGAGCAUGUGGUUUAAUUCGAUGCAACGCGAAGAACCUUACCUACUCUUGACAUCCAGAGAACUUAGCAGAGAUGCUUUGGUGCCUUCGGGAACUCUGAGACAGGUGCUGCAUGGCGUCGUCAGCUCGUGUUGUGAAAUGUUGGGUUAAGUCCCGCAACGAGCGCAACCCUUAUCCUUUGUUGCCAGCGAUUCGGUCGGGAACUCAAAGGAGACUGCCGGUGAUAAAACCGGAGGAAGGUGGGGAUGACGUCAAGUCAUCAUGGCCCUUACGAGUAGGGCUACACACGUGCUACAAUGGCGCAUACAAAGAGAAGCGACCUCGCGAGAGCAAGCGGACCUCACAAAGUGCGUCGUAGUCCGGAUCGGAGUCUGCAACUCGACUCCGUGAAGUCGGAAUCGCUAGUAAUCGUGGAUCAGAAUGCCACGGUGAAUACGUUCCCGGGCCUUGU